RNAcentral lists this ribosomal RNA (1571 nucleotides) under Salmonella enterica subsp. enterica serovar Enteritidis. RNAcentral's name for it is "partial 23S ribosomal RNA". It matches the Rfam family "Bacterial large subunit ribosomal RNA", at positions 1249 to 2803 of the family's 2925-position model. The record is from RNAcentral. Lineage: Bacteria; Pseudomonadati; Pseudomonadota; Gammaproteobacteria; Enterobacterales; Enterobacteriaceae.
UGCGAAGGUGGCCUGUGAGGGUUGCUGGAGGUAUCAGAAGUGCGAAUGCUGACAUAAGUAACGAUAAAGCGGGUGAAAAGCCCGCUCGCCGGAAGACCAAGGGUUCCUGUCCAACGUUAAUCGGGGCAGGGUGAGUCGACCCCUAAGGCGAGGCCGAAAGGCGUAGUCGAUGGGAAACGGGUUAAUAUUCCCGUACUUGGUGUUACUGCGAAGGGGGGACGGAGAAGGCUAUGUUGGCCGGGCGACGGUUGUCCCGGUUUAAGCGUGUAGGUGUGUGUUCCAGGUAAAUCCGGUUCACUUUAACACUGAGGCGUGACGACGAGGCACUACGGUGCUGAAGCAACAAAUGCCCUGCUUCCAGGAAAAGCCUCUAAGCAUCAGGUAACAUCAAAUCGUACCCCAAACCGACACAGGUGGUCAGGUAGAGAAUACCAAGGCGCUUGAGAGAACUCGGGUGAAGGAACUAGGCAAAAUGGUGCCGUAACUUCGGGAGAAGGCACGCUGACACGUAGGUGAAGUGAUUUACUCAUGGAGCUGAAGUCAGUCGAAGAUACCAGCUGGCUGCAACUGUUUAUUAAAAACACAGCACUGUGCAAACACGAAAGUGGACGUAUACGGUGUGACGCCUGCCCGGUGCCGGAAGGUUAAUUGAUGGGGUCAGCGCAAGCGAAGCUCCUGAUCGAAGCCCCGGUAAACGGCGGCCGUAACUAUAACGGUCCUAAGGUAGCGAAAUUCCUUGUCGGGUAAGUUCCGACCUGCACGAAUGGCGUAAUGAUGGCCAGGCUGUCUCCACCCGAGACUCAGUGAAAUUGAACUCGCUGUGAAGAUGCAGUGUACCCGCGGCAAGACGGAAAGACCCCGUGAACCUUUACUAUAGCUUGACACUGAACAUUGAGCCUUGAUGUGUAGGAUAGGUGGGAGGCUUUGAAGUGUGGACGCCAGUCUGCAUGGAGCCGACCUUGAAAUACCACCCUUUAAUGUUUGAUGUUCUAACGUGGACCCGUUACCCGGGUUGCGGACAGUGUCUGGUGGGUAGUUUGACUGGGGCGGUCUCCUCCUAAAGAGUAACGGAGGAGCACGAAGGUUGGCUAAUCCUGGUCGGACAUCAGGAGGUUAGUGCAAUGGCAUAAGCCAGCUUGACUGCGAGCGUGACGGCGCGAGCAGGUGCGAAAGCAGGUCAUAGUGAUCCGGUGGUUCUGAAUGGAAGGGCCAUCGCUCAACGGAUAAAAGGUACUCCGGGGAUAACAGGCUGAUACCGCCCAAGAGUUCAUAUCGACGGCGGUGUUUGGCACCUCGAUGUCGGCUCAUCACAUCCUGGGGCUGAAGUAGGUCCCAAGGGUAUGGCUGUUCGCCAUUUAAAGUGGUACGCGAGCUGGGUUUAGAACGUCGUGAGACAGUUCGGUCCCUAUCUGCCGUGGGCGCUGGAGAACUGAGGGGGGCUGCUCCUAGUACGAGAGGACCGGAGUGGACGCAUCACUGGUGUUCGGGUUGUCAUGCCAAUGGCACUGCCCGGUAGCUAAAUGCGGAAGAGAUAAGUGCUGAAAGCAUCUAAGCACGAAACUUGCCCCGAG